AUAUAACUAAGCGGAGGAAAAGAAACUAACAAGGAUUCCCCCAGUAACUGCGAGUGAAGCGGGACAAGCUCAGACUGAAAAUCUUCGGAAUUGUAGUCUGUCGAAACUGUGUCAGUGAUGAUCGGUGAGCAAAAUUUGGCUGGAAUGCCGUGCCGUGGAGGGUGAUAGCCCCGUUCAGGCUUGCUGAUCUAGCGUACGACCGGUUUUCUACGAGUCGAGUUGUUUGGGAUUGCAGCUCUAAGAGGGUGGUAAAUUCCAUCUAAAGCUAAAUAUCGGUGGGAGACCGAUAGCGCACAAGUA
This 300-nucleotide ribosomal RNA is filed under the name uncultured eukaryote. RNAcentral describes it as "partial large subunit ribosomal RNA". It matches the Rfam family "Eukaryotic large subunit ribosomal RNA", at positions 40 to 350 of the family's 3401-position model. The record is from RNAcentral.